GUGAACGCUGGCGGCGUGCCUAACACAUGCAAGUCGAACGAUGAUAGGAAGCUUGCUUUCUUGAUUAGUGGCGCACGGGUGAGUAAUGCAUAGAUAAUGUGCCCCUUAGUUCGGGAUAGCCACUGGAAACGGUGAUUAAUACCGGAUACUCCUUCUUACUAUAAGGUAAGUCGGGAAAGUUUUUCGCUAAGAGAUCAGUCUAUGUCCUAUCAGCUAGUUGGUGAGGUAAUGGCUCACCAAGGCUAUGACGGGUAUCUUGUUUGAGAGGAUGAUCUGACACACUGGGACUGAGACACGGUCCAGACUCCUACGGGAGGCAGCAGUGAGGAAUAUUGCACAAUGGAGGAAACUCUGAUGCAGCAACGCCGCGUGGAGGAUGACGCAUUUCGGUGUGUAAACUCCUUUUAAGAGGGAAGAUAAUGACGGUACCUCUUGAAUAAGCACCGGCUAACUCCGU
RNAcentral lists this ribosomal RNA (457 nucleotides) under uncultured bacterium. RNAcentral describes it as "bacterial SSU rRNA". It matches the Rfam family "Bacterial small subunit ribosomal RNA", at positions 29 to 506 of the family's 1533-position model. The record is from RNAcentral.